CUGAGGUGCUCAGCAGAGGCCUAGGCCCAAGUUUGUGCAGAUGUGGCAAAGUUACAGUUCUGUGGUUUCAUGUUAGUUACAUUAUGGUUGCUGUGUAAUUAGUGCCGCUUAAUGUACGUUACAAAAAAAAUAAAAAUAUAUCUAUGCCAAACUAGAUGUAGUAUUUUUGUAUAAUUGGAUUUCCUAAUACUGAUAUUUGUCAUCCCUACA
Pipistrellus kuhlii (Kuhl's pipistrelle) is the source of this 210-nucleotide long non-coding RNA. RefSeq lists it as uncharacterized. The transcript is spliced from 3 exons. NCBI's taxonomy places the organism in Eukaryota, Metazoa, Chordata, Mammalia, Chiroptera, Vespertilionidae. The record is from RefSeq and is a predicted model, not a curated record.